AUUUUCGCUUCCCCAGGUCGCGGCGGCGGGAGCAACAAGCGGCGGCUCGUGAGUCCGUGGCGCGCACCCAGGGGCGCCCGCACGUGCGGCUAGAACGUCCGAGUCGGGGUCCGGGGCGGGGGGCGCAGGCCCGCGGCGGUAGGGGAGGAGAGCGGGCACCCGAGUCUCCAUCCUCAGGGUGGCCUGAAGGUUCCAGGAGGGCGUCCGGCGAAGGCACGGGGCUGCGACCAUCCAGUUAGCGGGCUGGUGUGACCGUUUAGAGUAAAUGAAAAUUCGUUUUGUGACACUGACCACCUCCAAGGAAUGAAAGGAGCAGUCAGCCGAAACGACAGCAUUACUUGCGUCCUUACCUAAUUGGAACCUUAUCCGUGGCUGAGGGUGCCACCAUUGGAGGGGCCGCCGCCCCCUCUGACACCACCUGGCGCUCCGCUCCAUUUAGGAGCUAGAACGAAAAGGAGGCCCAUCCCCCAGUAAGUCACAGCCCACGCCAAGAUGAGUUCUGGAGCCUGUGCGACCGAAGUUUCUUCACCGCAGGGCCAGGUGGACGAGGGUGUGAGUUACUUUGACUUCAAGACGUCUCAGUGGCGGCUGAUUCUGGAGAGAGGCUUUAUGCUGGAGCACUUCCAGCAAAGUUCGGCUGGGGCCUCCUUAACUCACUGGCUGGUCACCCUUGGCCUCGGUUUUCAACCAAAGCCUAAGGCCUCAGUUUUCAACGCUGUAAAUGGAAAUAAAUGAGAGAAGAAGGUACAGCCCGUAUGACAAGUGCAGCAAGCAAUGCAACUUCCUUGGGACCUACCCUUUGAGGUCCCUUGCUUUAAAAGUAUAGAUUCACAUUUAGUUAGACCUGUUUCUUCCUCGCAUGCAAUUUCACCAGUCUUUUCCCAGACUUCUGUACUCGACAGAGGAAGUUCCUUCCUGGGAGACCAUAGCUGUUUGUAUGUAAAGAGUUGCCAAAAAACAAAAACAAAACAAAAAACUCCAACACCUCUCUGUCACAGAAGUAUUGAGUUAUAUAGACUGGAAAAAUGGAAGUAUCCAAGAAAACGCAUGUGGUAAGAAAAUGGCUAAGGUGCAGGAUUCUGUUUUGUGGCUCUGGUCUCAGAAAUAGACCUCACAUACACAUUAUUCCUUAUCCCCUCUAUUAUAAUACUCACUCUUUUUUUUUUAAGAGACAGGGUAGGCCGGGCGCGGUGGCUCAUGCCUGUAAUCCCAGCAUUUUGGGAGGCCAAGGCAGGAGGAUCACCUGAGGUCGGGAGUUUGUGACCAGCCUGACCAACAUGGAGAAACCCCAUCUCUACUAAAAAUACAAAAUUAGCCAGGUGUGGUGGUGCAUGCCUCUAAUCCCAGCUACUUGGGAGGCUGAGGCAGGAGAAUUGCUUGAACCCAGGAGGCGCAGGUUGUGGUGAGCCGAGAUUGUGCCAUUGCACUCCAGCCUGGGCAACAAGAGCGAAACUCUGUCUCAAAAAAAAAAAAAAAAAAGAGAGGGUCUUGCUCUGUCACUCAGGUUGUGCUAUCAUAGCUUACUGUAACCUUGAACUCCUGGCCUUAAGCGAUCCUCCUGCUUCAACCUCCCAAGUAGCUGGGACUACAGGCCUGUGACAGUGCCUGGCCCAGGCACUGACUUUCUUAUGUCAUAUAGCAAUGACCACUAAGGGAAAGUCUAUACAAACUAUAGAAUAGUUGUCAUUCUUUACCCAACCUGGGGACACAAGUUAAAAACCUAGUAUUCAUUUUUUUUUUUUCCUGUACCAAAACAAUCAUCUUCCUUUAUUUUUCCUGGAGCGGGAAGAGGAGAGUGGAGAAGAAGGGAAGAAUGCAAAGUGUCACUUUGAACUUCUCAUUCACCACACACGUGGGAGUCCACUCAUGUCAGCAGCCUCCGUGCACAGGCCCCAGGUGAAAGAAAUAAUGAGGCCUAGUUGUACCAGCUAACACUGCCUGCCUUGUGUUUACGAAAGGCAGCUGCCUCUGUGGUGUGAUUUCAGGGGAGCCAGACAGGGCUGGGGCCACGAACCUGCAUCCUGCAUCCUAACCACCUAUUGCCAUGCGUGAGGCUAACUGGAAACUCACUUGCUGGGUGCAGAUAGCUUCCAAACUAUUGUGAUGCUCAUGCUUGACUUCCCAAGGAACGUGUUUCAGGAAAGGCCAUUGCCCUAAUUAUGGUCUUUGAUAAGCAGGAAGAAGUUUGUUGUUCCUUUUUUUUCUUAAUGCCCUACUUCGUGCAACAUACAUCCAAUCAGUCAUAUCCUAUUGACACUACCCCUAAAUAUCUCUGGGCCUGGCCCGUGCUCAGGGCACUGCCUUCAUUCAGUUACUGCACUUGCCUGCUGCCUGUGCUCUUGGUCUCCUGCUUGGACUCCCCCAGGCCAGCAGCCACACUACUGCCAAAAUCCAGUCGAAAAUUAACUUCAGGUAAAGCACAAUUCCAAACCUAACACUGCCCCCCUCAAAAGCCUCUCUGUAGUCUUCAGAAUAAAGACCAUAUUAUUUGACAAGACA
RNAcentral lists this long non-coding RNA (2499 nucleotides) under Pan troglodytes (chimpanzee). RNAcentral's name for it is "lincRNA". The record is from RNAcentral. Lineage: Eukaryota; Metazoa; Chordata; Mammalia; Primates; Hominidae.